RNAcentral lists this long non-coding RNA (1286 nucleotides) under Volvox carteri. RNAcentral describes it as "long non-coding RNA (VCAR_LNC001136)". Lineage: Eukaryota; Viridiplantae; Chlorophyta; Chlorophyceae; Chlamydomonadales; Volvocaceae. The record is from RNAcentral.
GCCGUUGCGGAGCGUGACGGUGUUAGGCGGUCACUCGAGUGAUGCCUCUGGUGCCAUGCAUGGGGCUGACCCGAGCAAUAUACGGCUUGCAAGUAGAGGCUUCGGUGAUCGUUCGUUCUAAGAGAAGGAGCGAUGAAUUGUGACAGUCUUUGGCGACAGUCGUCGGAACGGUAAUAAUGACGACUUGAAGGUAAGCGCAGCAGCGGGUUGGCGUCAGCGCGUUUUGUGAUCUUUGUGUAAGGCAGAGAGGGCUGCGAGGAGAAUGGAGAAGAGGAAAGGUGAGAAGAGGAAUUCUUCAUCAUCAUGUGCGUACAUUUCAAUUGCAGUUUUUCCGUUCUGUAAACGUCUGUAUGGUUGCAGCCUUUCGCCUUCGCAUCGCGGCGGAAGGCGCAGUGAGAUCGCCGGUUCGUAGUCGAAGCUGUACGGCAGAGAUGAACGAUUUGGAUGCCGUGCAUUUCAUGGGAAGCGCAUGCCGAGGUACUUAUUUUGCGCAUAAUUUCCGCUUCCAUAGAGAACCGCGGAGUGGUAAGAGGCUGAAGCUUUUUUAUGGUGUGCGAAGAUCGAUUACCAGAAGGAGUAAGGCGUUGAGAUGGCUAGUUCAUGCAUCCGUAGAGUACUGAAGUGGAGCGAUGAUUGCGGCAGCGUCGCGCGAAUUGUGGAUCACUACUAUUGUAGAGUAAUACUGACUGGAAAUGUCCAGAACCCUAGCGAUGCAGAGGGAGUUUACCGAACAGUGUGUGGUGAGAACACGAGGACCCUCAAAUGAAGGUCCGUUGCGAAGGGGUUGAGAAAGGAGUGACGGGAGGAGGAGCCGGUUGUUGCAUGAGAGCCACGUGCUUAUGCUGUGCACGCCUCGCAAUAUGUGGUGAGAGUCAAUUUUGACACAGCGAAAAGAUGCAAAUACACACAAAAAAAACAUCGUACACUCUGUCUGGCCCAACUUUCCUUUAAACUUCCAGUUUGCGUUUGGCACUCGGUGACGUGCUCGGUGCAAAAGAGUUCUGCGUAUGGCAACUAGAAAUUAUUAUAGACUCAAUUGUGCUUCGACGCGAUGUUUUAUCUACCAACAUCACGCCAUGUAAACCGUAGUGCUCAUCAGUAACCAGUUGCUGUUGUUGCGCACUUCCUAAAUGUCUUAUACCAAUCCGGUGCUGGUGGAUUAGUUGUUCGAAAGUACGUCGUACGCAUGUAACAAGCCUCGGUACUCGACCGUCAACAUGUCGCUAUUUCUGAGUUGUAUGUUUUGUUUGCAUAUCCUUCGUAGUUACGGUGGUGUAAAUAACCGA